GACGAACGCUGGCGGCGUGCUUAACACAUGCAAGUCGAACGGAAAGGCCCUGCUUUUGUGGGGUGCUCGAGUGGCGAACGGGUGAGUAACACGUGAGUAACCUGCCCUUGACUUUGGGAUAACUUCAGGAAACUGGGGCUAAUACCGGAUCGGAGCUCCUGCUGCAUGGUGGGGGUUGGAAAGUUUCGGCGGUUGGGGAUGGACUCGCGGCUUAUCAGCUUGUUGGUGGGGUAGAGGCUUACCAAGGCUUUGACGGGUAGCCGGCCUGAGAGGGUGACCGGCCACAUUGGGACUGAGAUACGGCGCAGACGCCUACGGGAGGCAGCAGUGGGGAAUAUGGCACAAUGGGCGGAAGCCUGAGGCAGCAACGCCGCGUGCGGGAUGAAGGCCUUCGGGUUGUAAACCGCUUUCGCCUGUGACGAAGCGUGAGUGACGGUAAUGGGUAAAGAAGCACCGGCUAACUACGUG
RNAcentral lists this ribosomal RNA (468 nucleotides) under uncultured bacterium. RNAcentral's name for it is "partial 16S ribosomal RNA". It matches the Rfam family "Bacterial small subunit ribosomal RNA", at positions 28 to 507 of the family's 1533-position model. The record is from RNAcentral.